CCUACGGGAGGCAGCAGUGAGGAAUAUUGGUCAAUGGACGUGAGUCUGAACCAGCCAAGUCGCGUGAAGGAUGACUGCCCUAUGGGUUGUAAACUUCUUUUAUAAAGGAAUAAAACGCGGCACGUGUGCCUUUUUGCAUAUACUUUAUGAAUAAGGAUCGGCUAACUCCGUGCCAGCAGCCGCGGUAAUACGGGGGGUCCGAGCGUUAUCCGGAUUUAUUGGGUUUAAAGGGAGCGUAGAUGGGUUGUUAAGUCAGUUGGGAAAGUGUGCGGCUCAACCGUAAAAUUGCAAUUGAUACUGGCAGUCUUGAGUACAGUUGAGGUAGGCGGAAUGCGUGGUGUAGCGGUGAAAUGCAUAGAUAUCACGAAGAACCCCGAUUGCGAAGGCAGCUUACUAAACUGUGACUGACAUUGAUGCUCGAAAGUGUGGGUAUCAAACAGGAUUAGAUACCCCAGUAGUC
This 460-nucleotide ribosomal RNA is filed under the name uncultured bacterium. RNAcentral's name for it is "partial 16S ribosomal RNA". It matches the Rfam family "Bacterial small subunit ribosomal RNA", at positions 338 to 795 of the family's 1533-position model. The record is from RNAcentral.